GCACUCAAGACAGUGACAGUGGAGAGUAUUAUUGUGUAGCCACUCCUUGGUACCUGUCAGCCUCAACAGGAGCCUGGACUCAAGCUGGAGAGCUGACGUCAUCCAGAGUCUUCCUUACUGUCCGAUUCGCUGUGUGGGACUCCCUGCAGUUACCUCUUUUAUAUGGUGCAUCAGCCUCAAUAGGUGUGGGCCUCUUUUCUCUGGUCCUGGGUCUGGUGUGUGCCCAGUGGUGCUGCCGCAACACUGCGCAUACUCCACGCUCACGCAACAAACUGAUGGACUUGGAGAUGGACUGACAAACACUUUCCCCCGCACCCACAUACUGCAGCGCUCACAAGAAACACCACACACACAACAGACACACGCACAUAGACGAUUUCUGGGACACCCAGUUGUUUCCAGGCGACGGACGUUGGGAGUAAAAUGACACAUCGCUCUGGAAACUGAAGCCUGAUUGACCAAUCUCAGUGCUUUACAAGGUGCUCAGGAUCUUUCAGCUCUGCAGUGGAGGUGCAGGGGAUGAGCACCAAUGGGGAAAAUAGCCUUUGAGACAUCUUUUUCUAUGAAGAUCUAAUUAAAUCUGUGGCGCUUCCAGUGAUUUUUACACAGAUAUAUACACAUACACUCCCUGUUAAAACCAUAGCGCUACGGGAAAAUGACGAAUCCAGAGUGUAAUUUUUGAGGAAGAGGAGGCCUCUGAGACAUCACUGCCAACUUCGGGAAUAAUCACUAAACAGAUCUGCUGCUUCUGUAACCACUGGGGAUAGCAAAUGACAUGCUCAGGCUGAACUACACUAAACUUUUUUAUGACCGCUCUGUGUUCCUGCUGGUGACGGCACACCAGCGUUCCUCGCUCUAGUUGUUUUUUGAGGGAAGAUAGUAACGAUUCAUUUCACUUGUUUGGUUGAACCUUGUAUCUGCACAGGGUUUUUAGCAUCUUUAUGUCACAUGGACAACAUCUGCUAAAGCUGUUCUGUGUGUGCAGAGGGUGAUGGUUUCAGCAGCCUGAGCCUUAUUUAAUGUCAUGGAGUAAACAUGUUGGUUCGGGCAGCGGACGUCCUAGUAAACAAAGUGCUCCAUGUGCUUGUACUGCACUAGAACUACCAGGCCAGAGUAUUCCUACCUUAUCAAAAGGACAAUAUAUACCUUUAUUCUCAACUCUAGUUUUUUCAAAAUUAUGAGAUUUUAAAAUGAGAGACCUUUUGAAGCUUUACAAGGAGAUAUGCAGUCUGUGUGUUUGUGUGUGAGAUCUACUGUAUCUGGUGCCAAUAUUUGAACCAACAGAGGUGUGCUUGGUUCAUUUUUUUUUUCUAUAUCAACACUUGAACAGUCACUGAAAAGUGGUGACAACAAGCACUCUUCUUUUCUAGAUAUUCAGCCGUGUCCAGAUGUUGCCUGAGUCUCGUGUGUGCUUUGUACACUGUGCGAGUGCUGUGCUAUAGUGUGAGACAGAAUUGCAUGUAUUGUUUUAUAAUGACAGAUUGAUGUCAUUCACAAGUGUUUUUUCCAGGGUUACAGUUUGACGACAUUGAAGUCCUGCAGAUUUUGAAAGUUAGCUGUCACUCAGCUGAUUAAUGUGUUCACACUGCGAGCAGCAUGACUGUUUUAACUGUGUGUGGGUGGUGCAAGACACUCAGUUACUUUCAUGGUUUGCAUCUGCAAAAUGUUGAACAGGAAAAUCCUGCAUGUUUCUCAGAUUCUGCUUUUUAAAGGAAUAAGUCAGCAUUCUGGGGAACAUGCUUGUUUGCUUUUUUCCUCCAGAACUGGAGUCAGGAGGUGCUCAGGUGCAAGACUUAGCUUAGCAUUAAGACUGGAAACAGGGGGAAAUGUUAGCAUGGCUCUGCCCAUAGUGGAAAUGUGCAUACGAACAGCUCUAAAGCUCACUAAUUACUGUGCAUCUCUUUUGUUUGAUUUACAUUAAAACAAAGCAUGAAAAUUUGUGAUUGUUUUGCUGAGUUAUAUAAUGUCUUGGCUGCACAGGUUGAUAAAUUGAACCCCUCCUGGAGCCACAAAUUCUCUUUUUCUGUUCAUGCAGAGGUUUAAAAAAAUGAGAUGCAUUGUGCUAACUAAUGAGCCUUAGAUGUGCUGGUGUGUAGUUUUUCUUUACUUUAAGGAGAACUGUGCUGGCUAUUCUCCUGCUUCCAGGGCUAACCACAUCCUGAAUCCAGCUCCAUAUGUAACACAAAGUGGAAGCAGAGAGGGUCUGCUAGCCUUGAAA
Monopterus albus (swamp eel) is the source of this 2218-nucleotide long non-coding RNA. RefSeq lists it as uncharacterized. The record is from RefSeq and is a predicted model, not a curated record. The transcript has 4 exons. NCBI's taxonomy places the organism in Eukaryota, Metazoa, Chordata, Actinopteri, Synbranchiformes, Synbranchidae.